CAUCUACUCCCUCCGUCCGAAAAUACUUGUCAGAGAAAUGGAUAAAAGUGAAUGUAUCUAGAAUUAAAAUACAUCUAGAUAUAUCUCUUUCUCCGACAUGUAUUUUCGGACGGAGGGAGUAUGUU
Molecule: non-coding RNA, 125 nt
Organism: Triticum aestivum (bread wheat)
Lineage: Eukaryota; Viridiplantae; Streptophyta; Magnoliopsida; Poales; Poaceae
Source: Rfam